RNAcentral lists this ribosomal RNA (239 nucleotides) under Pantoea agglomerans. RNAcentral's name for it is "partial 23S ribosomal RNA". It matches the Rfam family "Bacterial large subunit ribosomal RNA", at positions 1096 to 1334 of the family's 2925-position model. Lineage: Bacteria; Pseudomonadati; Pseudomonadota; Gammaproteobacteria; Enterobacterales; Erwiniaceae. The record is from RNAcentral.
GGAUGUUGGCUUAGAAGCAGCCAUCAUUUAAAGAAAGCGUAAUAGCUCACUGGUCGAGUCGGCCUGCGCGGAAGAUGUAACGGGGCUAAACCAUGCACCGAAGCUGCGGCAGCGACACUAUGUGUUGUUGGGUAGGGGAGCGUUCUGUAAGCCGUCGAAGGUGUGCUGUGAGGCAUGCUGGAGGUAUCAGAAGUGCGAAUGCUGACAUAAGUAACGAUAAAGCGGGUGAAAAGCCCGCU